Molecule: ribosomal RNA, 497 nt
Filed under: uncultured bacterium
Lineage: Bacteria
Description: partial 16S ribosomal RNA
Rfam family: Bacterial small subunit ribosomal RNA
Source: RNAcentral
GAUGAACGCUGGCGGCGUGCCUAAUACAUGCAAGUCGAGCGAACAGACGAGGAGCUUGCUCCUCUGACGUUAGCGGCGGACGGGUGAGUAACACGUGGAUAACCUACCUAUAAGACUGGGAUAACUUCGGGAAACCGGAGCUAAUACCGGAUAAUAUAUUUAACCGCAUGGUUCAAUAGUGAAAGACGGUUUUGCUGUCACUUAUAGAUGGAUCCGCGCCGCAUUAGCUAGUUGGUAAGUUAACGGCUUACCAAGGCAACGAUGCGUAGCCGACCUGAGAGGGUGAUCGGCCACACUGGAAAUGAGACAAGGUCCAGACUCCUACGGGAGGCAGCAGUAGGGAAUCUUCCGCAAUGGGCGAAAGCUUGCCGGAGCAACGCCGCGUGAGUGAUGAAGGUCUUCGGAUCGUAAAACUAUGUUAUUAGGGAAGAACAAAUGUGUAAGUAACUAUGCACGUCUUGACGGUACCUAAUCAGAAAGCCACGGCUAACUACGUG